This 328-nucleotide long non-coding RNA is filed under the name Anser cygnoides (Swan goose). RNAcentral describes it as "lncRNA (ENSACDG00005005495.1)". The record is from RNAcentral. Lineage: Eukaryota; Metazoa; Chordata; Aves; Anseriformes; Anatidae.
AUGCAAGUUCAGGGAUUGCAAGACAGGAGGCCAAACACCGAAACAGCAUCUGACAAAAGUUUAUUUUUGAGAAGACCUUAUAUAAAGACACUGCCUUCAAGAAGAAACAUUGGAAUUUUAGGGCUAUUUGAAACAGUGUAUAAGCAUAUGUUGUAUGUCAUGACUAUGCUGCCUAACAUGCAGUUGGAUGAAAAGCACUUGAAGUAUCUUUGGACCGAACCCACAAUAAAGCUCUCCAAUACUUCAGUGGACGUAGUGCAUGUGAACCUAUUUCAGAAUGAAGCCCAUAAUCCUGGACCUCUUUUCAUGGGAGGCUGAAUAUAUGAAG